UGUAGUUUAGUGGUAAAACUACAGCCUUCCAAGCUGUUGUCGCGAGUUCGAUUCUCGUCACCCG
Molecule: transfer RNA, 64 nt
Filed under: Streptococcus agalactiae
Lineage: Bacteria; Bacillati; Bacillota; Bacilli; Lactobacillales; Streptococcaceae
Description: tRNA-Gly
Rfam family: tRNA
About the family: Transfer RNA (tRNA) molecules are approximately 80 nucleotides in length. Their secondary structure includes four short double-helical elements and three loops (D, anti-codon, and T loops).
Source: RNAcentral